GAAGUACCUUCGGGUGCGAGUAGAGCGGCGGACGGGUGAGUAACGCGUAGGAAUCUACCUAGUAGAAGGGGAUAGCCCGGGGAAACUCGGAUUAAUACCGUAUACCUCCUUAGGGAGAAAGAGGGCUUAGCUUUGAUGCUCUCGCUAUUAGAUGAGCCUGCGUAAGAUUAGCUUGUUGGUGAGGUAAUGGCUCACCAAGGCGACGAUCUUUAGCUGGUCUGAGAGGACGAUCAGCCACAUUGGGACUGAGACACGGCCCAGACUCCUACGGGAGGCAGCAGUGGGGAAUAUUGGACAAUGGGCGCAAGCCUGAUCCAGCCAUACCGCGUGUGUGAAGAAGGCUUUCGGGUUGUAAAGCACUUUAAGUAAGGAGGAAAAGAUUGUAGUUAAUACCUGCAAUCCGUGACGUUACUUACAGAAUAAGGACCGGCUAAUUCCGUGCCAGCAGCCGCGGUAAUACGGAAGGUCCAAGCGUUAAUCGGAAUUACUGGGCGUAAAGCGCGCGUAGGUGGUUUUUUAAGUUGGAUGUGAAAGCCCUGGGCUCAACCUAGGAACUGCAUCCAAAACUAGAUGACUAGAGUACGAAAGAGGGAAGUAGAAUUCACAGUGUAGCGGUGGAAUGCGUAGAUAUUGUGAAGAAUACCAAUGGCGAAGGCAGCUUCCUGGUUCUGUACUGACACUGAGGUGCGAAAGCGUGGGUAGCGAACAGGAUUAGAUACCCUGGUAGUCCACGCCGUAAACGAUGACAACUAGCUGUUGGGAGACAAGAUCUCUCAGUGGCGCAGCUAACGCUUUAAGUUGUCCGCCUGGGGAGUACGGCCGCAAGGUUAAAACUCAAAUGAAUUGACGGGGACCCGCACAAGCGGUGGAGCAUGUGGUUUAAUUCGAUGCAACGCGA
This 898-nucleotide ribosomal RNA is filed under the name marine metagenome. RNAcentral describes it as "bacterial SSU rRNA". It matches the Rfam family "Bacterial small subunit ribosomal RNA", at positions 71 to 964 of the family's 1533-position model. The record is from RNAcentral.